UAUUUUAAUAGCUUAUUAGAGCAUGAUGUUGAAGCUAUCAAGGAGGUCUGGUGGCCUUAAAAUAUU
RNAcentral lists this transfer RNA (66 nucleotides) under Dilophotes sp. Za LB-2014. RNAcentral describes it as "tRNA-Phe". The record is from RNAcentral. Lineage: Eukaryota; Metazoa; Arthropoda; Insecta; Coleoptera; Lycidae.